AAAUUGAAGAGUUUGAUCAUGGCUCAGAUUGAACGCUGGCGGCAGGCCUAACACAUGCAAGUCGAGCGGUAGCACAGAGAGCUUGCUCUCGGGUGACGAGCGGCGGACGGGUGAGUAAUGUCUGGGAAACUGCCUGAUGGAGGGGGAUAACUACUGGAAACGGUAGCUAAUACCGCAUAACGUCGCAAGACCAAAGAGGGGGACCUUCGGGCCUCUUGCCAUCAGAUGUGCCCAGAUGGGAUUAGCUAGUAGGUGGGGUAACGGCUCACCUAGGCGACGAUCCCUAGCUGGUCUGAGAGGAUGACCAGCCACACUGGAACUGAGACACGGUCCAGACUCCUACGGGAGGCAGCAGUGGGGAAUAUUGCACAAUGGGCGCAAGCCUGAUGCAGCCAUGCCGCGUGUAUGAAGAAGGCCUUCGGGUUGUAAAGUACUUUCAGCGGGGAGGAAGGCGUUGAGGUUAAUAACCUCAGCGAUUGACGUUACCCGCAGAAGAAGCACCGGCUAACUCCGUGCCAGCAGCCGCGGUAAUACGGAGGGUGCAAGCGUUAAUCGGAAUUACUGGGCGUAAAGCGCACGCAGGCGGUCUGUCAAGUCGGAUGUGAAAUCCCCGGGCUCAACCUGGGAACUGCAUUCGAAACUGGCAGGCUAGAGUCUUGUAGAGGGGGGUAGAAUUCCAGGUGUAGCGGUGAAAUGCGUAGAGAUCUGGAGGAAUACCGGUGGCGAAGGCGGCCCCCUGGACAAAGACUGACGCUCAGGUGCGAAAGCGUGGGGAGCAAACAGGAUUAGAUACCCUGGUAGUCCACGCCGUAAACGAUGUCGACUUGGAGGUUGUGCCCUUGAGGCGUGGCUUCCGGAGCUAACGCGUUAAGUCGACCGCCUGGGGAGUACGGCCGCAAGGUUAAAACUCAAAUGAAUUGACGGGGGCCCGCACAAGCGGUGGAGCAUGUGGUUUAAUUCGAUGCAACGCGAAGAACCUUACCUACUCUUGACAUCCAGAGAACUUAGCAGAGAUGCUUUGGUGCCUUCGGGAACUCUGAGACAGGUGCUGCAUGGCUGUCGUCAGCUCGUGUUGUGAAAUGUUGGGUUAAGUCCCGCAACGAGCGCAACCCUUAUCCUUUGUUGCCAGCGGUCCGGCCGGGAACUCAAAGGAGACUGCCAGUGAUAAACUGGAGGAAGGUGGGGAUGACGUCAAGUCAUCAUGGCCCUUACGAGUAGGGCUACACACGUGCUACAAUGGCGCAUACAAAGAGAAGCGACCUCGCGAGAGCAAGCGGACCUCAUAAAGUGCGUCGUAGUCCGGAUUGGAGUCUGCAACUCGACUCCAUGAAGUCGGAAUCGCUAGUAAUCGUAGAUCAGAAUGCUACGGUGAAUACGUUCCCGGGCCUUGUACACACCGCCCGUCACACCAUGGGAGUGGGUUGCAAAAGAAGUAGGUAGCUUAACCUUCGGGAGGGCGCUUACCACUUUGUGAUUCAUGACUGGGGUGAAGUCGUAACAAGGUAACCGUAGGGGAACCUGCGGUUGGAUCACCUCCUUA
Molecule: ribosomal RNA, 1540 nt
Filed under: Enterobacter asburiae
Lineage: Bacteria; Pseudomonadati; Pseudomonadota; Gammaproteobacteria; Enterobacterales; Enterobacteriaceae
Description: bacterial SSU rRNA
Rfam family: Bacterial small subunit ribosomal RNA
Source: RNAcentral